CAGACAUGCUCCGGUGCCGAAAGCGUGCUUACGGUCAUCGAAAGUGAUUUUCAAAAGGUUAGAACGGGUUAAAUUCGUUAAGGAUGUUGACGUAAUGGCUUUAAACGACCCGUCUUGAAACACGGACCAAGGAGUCUAACAUGUGUGCGAGUGUUU
RNAcentral lists this ribosomal RNA (156 nucleotides) under Rhizophagus prolifer. The record is from RNAcentral. Lineage: Eukaryota; Fungi; Glomeromycota; Glomeromycetes; Glomerales; Glomeraceae.